AACGAACGCUGGCGGCGCGCCUAAUACAUGCAAGUCGAACGAGAAGCUGUAGCAAUACAGUUGUACAGUGGCGAACGGGUGAGGGAUACAUGGGUGACCUACCCUCGAGUGGGGAAUAACCAGCCGAAAGGUUGGCUAAUACCGCGUACGCUUCCCAGUCUACGGGUUGGGAAGGAAAGCGAUGCCGUGGGUAUCGCGCUCAAGGUUGGGCUCAUGUCCUAUCAGCNGUUGGUGGGGUAACGGCUCACCAAGGCAACGACGGGUAGCUGUCGUGAGAGGACGAUCAGCCACACUGGCGACUGCGACACGGGCCGAG
Molecule: ribosomal RNA, 316 nt
Filed under: uncultured bacterium
Lineage: Bacteria
Description: bacterial SSU rRNA
Rfam family: Bacterial small subunit ribosomal RNA
Source: RNAcentral